This 422-nucleotide ribosomal RNA is filed under the name uncultured bacterium. Its description in RNAcentral is "bacterial SSU rRNA". It matches the Rfam family "Bacterial small subunit ribosomal RNA", at positions 355 to 774 of the family's 1533-position model. The record is from RNAcentral.
UGAGGAGUAUUGGGCAAUGCCCGCAAGGGUGACCCAGCAACGCCGCGUGGAGGAUGAAUGUCGUAAGAUUGUAAACUCCUGUUAGAGGGGAAGAAUAGUACCGGUUGGACCGGUAUAUGACUGUACCCUCAGAGAAAGCCCCGGCUAACUACGUGCCAGCAGCCGCGGUAAUACGUAGGGGGCAAGCGUUGUCCGGAUUUACUGGGUGUAAAGGGCGCGCAGGCGGGAUAAAAAGUCAGUGGUGAAAUCCUACAGCUUAACUGUAGAACUGCCUUGGAUACUUUUAUUCUUGAGUUCGGGAGAGAGAGACGGAAUUCCAGGUGGAGUGGUGAAAUACGUAGAUAUCGGGAAGAACACCAGUUGCGAAGGCGGUCUCUUGGUCCGACACUGACGCUGAGGCGCGAAAGCGUGGGGAGCAAACA